Molecule: long non-coding RNA, 2149 nt
Filed under: Xyrichtys novacula (pearly razorfish)
Lineage: Eukaryota; Metazoa; Chordata; Actinopteri; Labriformes; Labridae
Source: RNAcentral
AUGAUUAUAACACAUUAUACAUAUAUUUAAAAUGCGCUAUAGAGAUAGGCGUCAAAUAAAGUGUUACUGAAAAUUUCAUACCCAUGCUAAAAUGGUUAUAGCUAUGUAACCGUAUAGCUAUGUGUAACAGUUAGGGGAAAAUUUGUGAGAUUUGUUGAGAUGUGUUAAUAUGAGUAUAUGAGACGUCGAAGUCCCCCAAUUGGGAACGUUCAGGCUACAUCGAUUUAAGAGCUGCUGAAUAAGCAGGAAGAGGUUAUGAGAUCAAUAAAACAGCAUUUUUUUUUAACCACUGAGGAGACAAAUGCACUCCUAUAUAUGAUGUAUUGAUUCCAAGAAAUAUACAAGAGUGUAAAAAAGUGUGACAACAAGCCCCGCUCUCCCCUAUUCUAAAAGUUUGAGACAUGAUUUCUGAUUUUCACGUAAUGUAAGACAUAAACAUAAAAUCAAAACAAUAGAAUGGCUUGAAAUGUUUCAUUUAACGUGCAUAAAUGAAGACAAAUGAACUUUUUCAACAUAUUCUUACAUAUCCAAAUGUAGAUAUUUGGAGAGCUUUAUGGGUGUCAUCAAGUAAUAAAAUUGUGCGUUCAGUGAUAGCACAUCCGAAAGAUUAGCUAAUGAUUCUUUAUCAGGUGGUGAAUGACCAUUUAUCUGUUUAUAACUGAGACCAGUAUGCCAAUGGUGUUCGCCGCCCCGUGUCCGCCUGGUGCGCUCUGCUGGCUCUGCGUCAGACAGCUGAGAGGCGCAGCUCUGCACAGUACACUAACGAACUGCAACUCUGCGGGUGCAAGACGCAUCACAGUCCAGACAAGUCCCAGAACAUCUGUAAUGGGUAUUUGGAUCACCUGGAAAUUUUAAGGUAAGACUCUGUAAACAUGAAUGGUUUGUUGUUUCAUCCGAGGUUGCGCAUUCUCCAACGCUCGUUGAUGCAAAGUCUUUAAAAAGUGAGAAUACGAGUACUAUAUUUGCGGAAAGAAGCCUUUUUGUUAGACCAUGUUGUUUUCUAAUAAACCAAUCAUUAUUGCACUUUUUAUUGAUUUGAUUGUAGGCGGUUUUGUGACAACAUUUGCCAUGUGCCAGUACGCGUAGAUUAAGGGAUCUAAUCUGGAUUACAGCGAGCAUAACCGAGAGAUAACCUCCACUCUGUUCGCGAGUUCAUAUCAUAUAAGAAACACAGAAAAGACAAGAGAUAUCUGAGUUCAGGGUAAAACGUUGUAAAGCCUCUUUGCUUGUUUCUAUUGACACUUGUAAUUACAGCCUGUGAAUGAGAAAAUGCGGCUGAAAGGGUGUUUCUGCCAACAGUCCUCUGCACCCUGAUACUUAGAUGUAGGGUGACCAAUGUCCUGCUUUUCAUGGCUUUUCAUUUGGCCACUAGGAUUAAGAAGAAAAGUAAAGCAAUAGCAGUUUUGUGAAAGUUGGAUCGCUAAUAGUAGUAUUUUUAGUUUUACUUGUUUGUUUUUUUUAAUUCAGAAGAGACAUUAUUUCUGUGAUUGCUUCACUCGUUAUUUUUGAAACUUGUCAUAAUAAAACAUGCUGAAUAACCUAUGAGAAGCCUAUCUGAAAUUGUAUCUUUGCUUUUAGAUAGUAUUAUAUAUAGUAUUUAGUAAUAUAACUGUUUUCUAUCCCUGUAAGGCAUCUUUGAGUAAACCUCAUGUUUAAUUUAAGUAUCUCAUUGUUGGAUCGAGUGUCCUGGUGUUCAGUUAUCAAAAUAUAAUAAGAUGUUAAUCAUUAUAGGGUGUGGAUGUAUGUUAUAGGGCGGUCAUUAUUUCCGUUUAGUAUGUAGUCUUUUUAUGUACAUGUUAAAACUCAGGUAGCACGAUCAAAUAAAGAGAGAGAAACAAUAUUUUACGUUUAAAGAACUUGAAGUUCUUGAAAACAUGCAUUUAAUAUAAGUAUGGCCCUGUGCUUGAGCACAUGUAAGCUGCUCUGAAUGUUUUUAGUAGAAAUCUGUGUAGAGGUGGCAUGUGGGACUGUCUGAAAAAUCAGAAGUCAAUCAAUCAAUCAAUCACUCUUUAUUUAUAGAGCACUUUUCAUACAUAACAUGUAGCACAAAGUGCUUUACACAGAAAAAGGAAUAAAAUAAACAAAGAAUACACAAAUUUACCCCAACCCAAGAUUAAAAGAAUACCCAAAUCUACCCCAGCCCAACCCC